UCAUAAAAUGUCUCAAGUACAAGGCUUUUUAUAAGUACAAAGGAUCCCAAAUACAUUGUAUGAACUUAAAAGACUAAUUAAUGACUUUUCCUAUAUACUAUGAAUAAUAGGAUAUAAAGAACCAUUUGGAUACAUGAUUUAAAUAAAUGCAUGAAUAUUAAGUAAACUAAUUCAUGUAUCAAAUUUAAUUUUUUCCAUCAUUCAUGAAUCAAGUUUAAUUUCCAACA
This 227-nucleotide long non-coding RNA is filed under the name Olea europaea (common olive). RNAcentral's name for it is "long non-coding RNA (OEUR_LNC009381)". Lineage: Eukaryota; Viridiplantae; Streptophyta; Magnoliopsida; Lamiales; Oleaceae. The record is from RNAcentral.